RNAcentral lists this ribosomal RNA (253 nucleotides) under uncultured bacterium. Its description in RNAcentral is "partial 16S ribosomal RNA". It matches the Rfam family "Bacterial small subunit ribosomal RNA", at positions 524 to 776 of the family's 1533-position model. The record is from RNAcentral.
UACGUAGGGUGCAAGCGUUGUCCGGAAUUAUUGGGCGUAAAGAGCUCGUAGGCGGUUUGUCGCGUCUGCUGUGAAAACUCGGGGCUUAACCCCGGGCCUGCAGUGGGUACGGGCAGACUAGAGUGCGGUAGGGGAGACUGGAAUUCCUGGUGUAGCGGUGAAAUGCGCAGAUAUCAGGAGGAACACCGAUGGCGAAGGCAGGUCUCUGGGCAUUAACUGACGCUGAGGAGCGAAAGCAUGGGGAGCGAACAGG